This 301-nucleotide ribosomal RNA is filed under the name uncultured bacterium. RNAcentral's name for it is "partial 16S ribosomal RNA". It matches the Rfam family "Bacterial small subunit ribosomal RNA", at positions 509 to 807 of the family's 1533-position model. The record is from RNAcentral.
CAGUCGCCACGGUAAAACGUAGGGUGCAAGCGUUAAUCGGAAUUACUGGGCGUAAAGCGUGCGCAGGCGGUUUGUUAAGACAGAUGUGAAAUCCCCGGGCUCAACCUGGGAACUGCAUUUGUGACUGGCAAGCUAGAGUGUGGCAGAGGGGGGUGGAAUUCCGCGUGUAGCAGUGAAAUGCGUAGAUAUGCGGAGGAACACCGAUGGCGAAGGCAGCCCCCUGGGCCAACACUGACGCUCAUGCACGAAAGCGUGGGGAGCAAACAGGAUUAGAUACCCCGGUAGUCCCUGUCUCUUAUAC